RNAcentral lists this ribosomal RNA (271 nucleotides) under uncultured archaeon. Its description in RNAcentral is "partial 16S ribosomal RNA". It matches the Rfam family "Archaeal small subunit ribosomal RNA", at positions 477 to 747 of the family's 1478-position model. The record is from RNAcentral.
CAGCGCCACAAGUGGCAAUCGCGAUUAUUGGGCCUAAAGCGUCCGUAGCCGGUUUGGCAAAUCUUUUGUGAAAUUGUUAAGCUCAACUUAGCGAAUGGCAGAAGACACUACCAAACUCGGAACCGGGAGGGGUCUGAAGUAUUCCAAGGGGACCGGUAAAAUGGGAUAAUCCUUGGAGGACUACCGAUGGCGAAGGCAUCAGACCAGAACGGAUUCGACGGUGAGGGACGAAAGCCAGGGGAGCAAACCGGAUUAGAUACCCGAGUAGUCC